RNAcentral lists this transfer RNA (89 nucleotides) under Candidatus Cerribacteria bacterium 'Amazon FNV 2010 28 9'. RNAcentral describes it as "tRNA-Ser". It matches the Rfam family "tRNA". From Rfam's summary of the family: Transfer RNA (tRNA) molecules are approximately 80 nucleotides in length. The record is from RNAcentral. Lineage: Bacteria; Candidatus Cerribacteria.
GGAGGGGUGCCUCGAGUGGUUUAUGGGCCAGGUCUCGAAAACCUCGGGGAGGCUUCGCUUCCACAUGGGUUCGAAUCCCAUCCCCUCCG